GCUCUUCUUACGUUUUGCCUAGAAUAUAUACCAACUAAUCAGUUCAAAUGUUUUCAGACGAGGGAAGAACGGAAACUUGCAGCCAUUUUAAAAGCAUUUGAUAGGCUUGAAAAAGAUCAAGCUCGAAAGCAAGAAUCUCAUCACAAGGGCUCAGCUCGAAAAGAUUUGUCUGACAAUGUUGAUGUUGUCCCAGAACCGAGAAUCCUGAAAUCUUCAGUGCAGCCACACACACCUGCAGUUAAACCAUCACCGAAAAAAAAGAGAGGCAAAAGGCGCAUCCUGAAUAGGAGUAUGUCAAAUUUGCAACCUAGUCCAAGAACAAGACGAGCAAUGCAGAGGCGAAUGAACACGGAACCCGAAACAAGUUCUGAUGAAGACGAUGAGGAUGUUCCAAGCAAGCCAACAACGAGACAUGCAUCAAAUAGACAUCCAAUAUCCCCUGAUAAAAAUGAGCCUUCAACGCCUAUCAAAAUGAGAGUGGAUCAAGCAGUGAUACUUGUAUGACUCCAGUCACCGUAUCCAACACGUGUCUGCUAGUAGCUGCAGCUGUCGGCCCACUCGCUCCAGGAUUCAAGUUUCCUCAGCAAAAAAGGUAAUUUUUCUUAAAUUAUCCCUCUCUUCUGAAGCCUCAUCUUUUCCGCAAGCAUUCAGGAGUGAAAGGAAACCUUCAGUAGUCUGUGUAUACUUUUCCUUUCUUUUAAUGUUUGUUGCUGCUCUGUGUUCAAUUGUUACAAUCCUAACGCAUCUGUCUCACAUGUCACAGUAAUUUAAAAUAGAAAAACAUCUUCUCAUAUUCUGUGUUCCCAACUGGGGAUCUCAAAAGGAAACCAAACAGCAUCCUAAAAUGGGUUUUAAUGGUUUGGGCUCUUCAAGAUUUCGUCAAAUAUUUGUUAUUGGUAAUGGAUUCUUUUGUCACUGAGUCAAAAUAUGUAUUUUAAUAAACCAAAGAUAUUAUUUUUUCCAGUGUUAUCUUUGAGGUCAGUAUAAAGUAAGUAAAGUCUUUUAAAAGUUAGACAGCAUUUGGUUAGGACCCCAUUUAGUUGAACAGUGCUGAAAUUUAUCUAAGAAAACUUUUUGCAUGGAGAACUCUCAAAGUUUGAUGUAUCUUUUGUUACCUCUCAUCUGCAAAUGAGCACAAAGUGCUGCUUUUUUCGGAAAUUUCUCCAAAGUUUUAUCAAAAUAUUGACACUAAAUGUCAAUUUUAUAUGUACAACAGGAAGUAACAAGCACCUUGUGUUGCAUAUUUUAAAGGAGGCUCAAUUGUCUGUAAACAGCAAAGGUAAGGGAUGGCCACCUUCAUAAAAAAGUUUAAAUUUAAAAAAAAACUCAGCAACUGAAAACUGUUGCCAUUAGGUGCCCUUAUUUUCUUCCACUAUGACACUAACCUUUUGUUCCUCCCUUUUUGCAGCCAUCACUAAACAGUUGGACCAAGUCCCAAGACUCAGCAGGCGGUGAUGAGUCGCCCCCUAAAAAUACUCCUCAAGGAAGCAAUGGAGUAACAGGAAACGGAAACGGGGCUGGAUUUGCCAAGAAGCGUUGGCUAAGACAAGCCAUCAGCGAAGAAUCGGAGACACCUGCAGGUAUUUAUUUGUUCCCUCUCAUUAAUCCUGUGAUCCCUCUUGAUCCUGGUGAUGGUAGUCAUUAUUUAAAGAGUGUAGCUUUUUCUCUCAGUUGGAUACAGUGUGUUCCCAAAACUGUCUAU
RNAcentral lists this long non-coding RNA (1702 nucleotides) under Bemisia tabaci. Its description in RNAcentral is "lncRNA ENSSSA2NGG003364". Lineage: Eukaryota; Metazoa; Arthropoda; Insecta; Hemiptera; Aleyrodidae. The record is from RNAcentral.